UACGUAGGUGGCAAGCGUUGUCCGGAUUUAUUGGGCGUAAAGAGCUCGUAGGUGGCUCGGUAAGUCGGGUGUGAAAUUUCGAGGCUCAACCUCGAGACGCCACCUGAUACUGCUGUGGCUAGAGUCCGGUAGGGGAGCGUGGAAUUCCUGGUGUAGCGGUGAAAUGCGCAGAUAUCAGGAGGAACACCAGCGGCGAAGGCGGCGCUCUGGGCCGGUACUGACACUGAGGAGCGAAAGCGUGGGGAGCAAACAGG
RNAcentral lists this ribosomal RNA (254 nucleotides) under uncultured bacterium. RNAcentral describes it as "partial 16S ribosomal RNA". It matches the Rfam family "Bacterial small subunit ribosomal RNA", at positions 524 to 776 of the family's 1533-position model. The record is from RNAcentral.